AGAGUAACCUAGGCAAUCGCUUGUGAUGAAAAUUAUGAGAGGAAAGUCCGGACUCCUAACGAAAAGAUGCCCUGGAAGAAGAAGUUCAAUCAGGGGGAGCGUGAGUUCACGGAAAGUGUCACAGAAAAUAACCACCUAUCAUGGAAACAUGAAAGGAAAGGGUGAAAAUGUGUGGUAAGAGCGCACAGGCAAUUUUAGUAAUAACGUUGCAGGAUAAACCCCAUCUGGAGCAAGACAAAGCAUGGAACUGGCCUUUCGUUGCCUAUAGUUUCAGGGUAUGUCGCACAGAUAAAUGGUUGCCACUGUAUCAAAAAUACAGAACAGAAUCCGGCUUAUUGUUUACUCUGCUC
This 350-nucleotide RNase P RNA is filed under the name Candidatus Babeliales bacterium. RNAcentral describes it as "RNase P RNA component class A". It matches the Rfam family "Bacterial RNase P class A". Rfam says of the family: Ribonuclease P (RNase P) is a ubiquitous endoribonuclease, found in archaea, bacteria and eukarya as well as chloroplasts and mitochondria. Its best characterised activity is the generation of mature 5'-ends of tRNAs by cleaving the 5'-leader elements of precursor-tRNAs. Cellular RNase Ps are ribonucleoproteins. Lineage: Bacteria; Candidatus Babeliae; Candidatus Babeliales. The record is from RNAcentral.